Molecule: ribosomal RNA, 478 nt
Filed under: uncultured bacterium
Lineage: Bacteria
Description: partial 16S ribosomal RNA
Rfam family: Bacterial small subunit ribosomal RNA
Source: RNAcentral
GACGAACGCUGGCGGCGUGCUUAACACAUGCAAGUCGAACGUGAUUUUUGUGGAAAUUCUUUCGGGAAUGGAAAUGAAAUGAAAGUGGCGAACGGGUGAGUAACACGUGAGCAACCUACCUUACACAGGGGGAUAGCCGUUGGAAACGACGAUUAAUACCGCAUGAGACCACAGAAUCGCAUGAUAUAGGGGUCAAAGAUUUAUCGGUGUAAGAAGGGCUCGCGUCUGAUUAGCUAGUUGGAAGGGUAAAGGCCUACCAAGGCGACGAUCAGUAGCCGGCCUGAGAGGAUGAACGGCCACAUUGGAACUGAGACACGGUCCAAACUCCUACGGGAGGCAGCAGUGGGGAAUAUUGCACAAUGGGGGGAACCCUGAUGCAGCGACGCCGCGUGAGCGAAGAAGGUUUUCGAAUCGUAAAGCUCUGUCCUAUGAGAAGAUAAUGACGGUAUCAUAGGAGGAAGCCCCGGCUAAAUACGUG